Molecule: small nuclear RNA, 99 nt
Filed under: Rattus norvegicus (Norway rat)
Lineage: Eukaryota; Metazoa; Chordata; Mammalia; Rodentia; Muridae
Description: 4.5S1 RNA
Source: RNAcentral
GGGCUGGAGAGAUGGCUCAGCCGUUAAAGGCUAGGCUCACAACCAAAUAUAUAAGAGUUCGGUUCCCAGCACCCACGGCUGUCUCUCCAGCCACCUUUU